AGAACGAACGCUGGCGGCAGGCUUAACACAUGCAAGUCGAACGCUCGUGGCAACACGGGAGUGGCAGACGGGUGAGUAACACGUGGGAACGUACCCUUCGGUUCGGAAUAACUUGGGGAAACUCAAGCUAAUGCCGGAUACGAGCGCAAGCUGAAAGGUUUACCGCCGAAGGAUCGGCCCGCGUCUGAUUAGCUAGUUGGUGAGGUAACGGCUCACCAAGGCGACGAUCAGUAGCUGGUCUGAGAGGAUGAUCAGCCACAUUGGGACUGAGACACGGCCCAAACUCCUACGGGAGGCAGCAGUGGGGAAUAUUGGACAAUGGGCGCAAGCCUGAUCCAGCCAUGCCGCGUGAGUGAUGACGGCCCUAGGGUUGUAAAGCUCUUUUACCUGGGACGAUAAUGACGGUACCAGGAGAAUAAACCCCGGCUAACUUCGUGCCAGCAGCCGC
Molecule: ribosomal RNA, 448 nt
Filed under: uncultured bacterium
Lineage: Bacteria
Description: SSU rRNA
Rfam family: Bacterial small subunit ribosomal RNA
Source: RNAcentral